RNAcentral lists this ribosomal RNA (253 nucleotides) under uncultured bacterium. RNAcentral describes it as "partial 16S ribosomal RNA". It matches the Rfam family "Bacterial small subunit ribosomal RNA", at positions 524 to 776 of the family's 1533-position model. The record is from RNAcentral.
UACAGAGGGUGCAAGCGUUAAUCGGAAUUACCGGGCGUAAAGCGUGCGUAGACGGUUAUUUAAGUCAGGUGUGAAAGCCCCGGGCUCAACCUGGGAAUUGCAUUUGAGACUGAAUAGCUAGGGUGCGGAAGAGGGAAGCGGAAUUUCCGGUGUAGCGGUGAAAUGCGUAGAUAUCGGAAGGAACACCAGUGGCGAAAGCGGCUUCCUGGUCCAGCACCGACGUUCAGGCACGAAAGCGUGGGGAGCAAACAGG